RNAcentral lists this non-coding RNA (769 nucleotides) under Onymocoris hackeri. The record is from RNAcentral. Lineage: Eukaryota; Metazoa; Arthropoda; Insecta; Hemiptera; Thaumastocoridae.
AAUUAGUUAGAAUCUGGCUAUAAUAGCUGUUUAUUUAGUAAAAAUUUAUGUAAAGUUAUUUGGGAUAUUUUAAUUUUUAAAAAAGUAUUUAAAUUUUAUCUUCAAUUUAUAGUUUUAUUUUUUCUUUAAUUGAGAAUUAUAGUUAAUUAUUAAUUAUUUUGACUAAAUUUGUGCCAGCAGUCGCGGUUACACCAAUAAAGUUAAAUAGCUUAUAACAAUAUUAUUAAUUUUGUAUAUUAAAUUAUAUUAUUUAUAUAUAUUUAAGUGGAAUUUAUAUAUUUAAAUUGUAUAAUUUUAAAUAUUAUAACAAAUUCUUUUUAUUAAACUAGGAUUAGAUACCCUAUUAUUUAGAAUAUAAAUAUAUUAAUAUUUUAAUACUGUUAGGUAUUAUCUUUAAAAUAAAAGGUUUUGGCGGUAAUUAAUUUCCUUUUAGAGGAACCUGUCCUGUAAAUGAUAAUCCACGAUGAAUAUUACUUUAUUUAUGUUUAUAUACCUCUGUCAUUGAGCCUAUUUUAAAAUAGGCUCAAUAAAUAUAAUGUAUUUAAUGUCAGGUCAAGGUGUAGCUAUAUUAAAGAAGAGAUGGGUUACAAUAUUAUUAAUUUUGGAAAAUUUUAUGUAAAUACAUUUAAAAAUGGAUUUAAAUGUAAAUGGUUUUAGAAAAAAUCAUUGAUUUAGGCUCUAAAUUAUGCACACAUCGCCCGUCACUCCCAAUAUAUAUUGGGAUAAGUCGUAACAAAGUAGGUUCACUGGAAAGUGAACCUAGACUUAA